Molecule: long non-coding RNA, 427 nt
Organism: Lathyrus oleraceus (garden pea)
Lineage: Eukaryota; Viridiplantae; Streptophyta; Magnoliopsida; Fabales; Fabaceae
Exons: 2
Source: RefSeq, a predicted model, not a curated record
UCCUUCAACCCCGAUAAUGAGCCCUUUUUGUACCCCAGAAUUGAACCCAGCAUCUGGAGAUGGUGCUUACCUACAGUGGCCAAGUCCUACAAUGAUGUAUGCACAUUCAUAUGACCAAUUUAGACAUGUUGUUUACCAGGCUCCAUUUGGUCAACCUUUGAGCUUUGAUUAUUCACAGAACUAUUAGAUGAUAUGUAGGGAGGAAGGUUUGUAUUUGGAUUCGGAAGUUAUGUUGUUAGCCUUAUAGGAGAUCUCAUAUUAGGUUCAUUUUUCAGUACUCCUUUAUAUAGACCCUUGUUUGUUUUCUGUUAUUGUAGUAUGUAUGACUUUGAUUUUCAGUUUUGAUGGUUACAGUACUUCUUAUGUUACAGUUUAUAAAAUAGUGAACUCUAGUGGAUUUAUGCAUUUGUUAUAACAUAUUUGAUAA